AUUGAACGCUAGCGGCAUGCCUUACACAUGCAAGUCGAACGGCAGCGGGGGAGCUUGCUCCCGCCGGCGAGUGGCGAACGGGUGAGUAAUACAUCGGAACGUACCCAGUAGCGGGGGAUAGCCCGGCGAAAGCCGGAUUAAUACCGCAUACGCCCUACGGGGGAAAGGGGGGGAUCGCAAGACCUCUCACUAUUGGAGCGGCCGAUGGCUGAUUAGCUAGUUGGUGGGGUAAAGGCCUACCAAGGCGACGAUCAGUAGCUGGUCUGAGAGGACGACCAGCCACACUGGGACUGAGACACGGCCCAGACUCCUACGGGAGGCAGCAGUGGGGAAUUUUGGACAAUGGGCGAAAGCCUGACCCAGCAAUGCCGCGUGUGCGAAGAAGGCCUUCGGGUUGUAAAGCACUUUUGUCAGGGAAGAAAUCGUUUGGGUUAAUACCCCGAGCAGUUGACGGUACCUGAAGAAUAAGCACCGGCUAACUACGUGCCAGCCGCCGCAGUAA
RNAcentral lists this ribosomal RNA (502 nucleotides) under uncultured bacterium. RNAcentral's name for it is "partial 16S ribosomal RNA". It matches the Rfam family "Bacterial small subunit ribosomal RNA", at positions 29 to 523 of the family's 1533-position model. The record is from RNAcentral.